RNAcentral lists this ribosomal RNA (1165 nucleotides) under uncultured endophytic bacterium. RNAcentral describes it as "bacterial SSU rRNA". It matches the Rfam family "Bacterial small subunit ribosomal RNA", at positions 96 to 1259 of the family's 1533-position model. The record is from RNAcentral.
UGGCGAACGGGUGAGUAAUACAUCGGAACGUGUCCUGUAGUGGGGGAUAGCCCGGCGAAAGCCGGAUUAAUACCGCAUACGCUCUGCGGAGGAAAGCGGGGGAUCCUUCGGGACCUCGCGCUACAGGGGCGGCCGAUGGCCGAUUAGCUAGUUGGUGGGGUAAAGGCCUACCGAGGCGACGAUCUGUAUCUGGUCUGAGAGGACGACCUGCCACACUGGGCCUGAGACACGGCCCAGACUCUACGGGAGGCAGCAGUGGGGAAUUUUGGACAAUGGGCGCAAGCCUGAUCCAGCAAUGCCGCGUGUGUGAAGAAAGGCCUUCGGGUUGUAAAAGCACUUUUGUCCGGAAAAGAAAACCUCGUGGUUAAUACCCGUGGGGGAUGACGGUACCGGAAGAAUAAGCACCGGCUAACUACGUGCCAGCAGCCGCGGUAAUACGUAGGGUGCAAGCGUUAAUCGGAAUUACUGGGCGUAAAGCGUGCGCAGGCGGUUCGCUAAGACAGAUGUGAAAUCCCCGGGCUUAACCUGGGAACUGCAUUUGUGACUGGCGGGCUAGAGUAUGGCAGAGGGGGGUAGAAUUCCACGUGUAGCAGUGAAAUGCGUAGAGAUGUGGAGGAAUACCGAUGGCGAAGGCAGCCCCCUGGGCCAAUACUGACGCUCAUGCACGAAAGCGUGGGGAGCAAACAGGAUUAGAUACCCUGGUAGUCCACGCCCUAAACGAUGUCAACUAGUUGUCGGGUCUUCAUUGACUUGGUAACGUAGCUAACGCGUGAAGUUGACCGCCUGGGGAGUACGGUCGCAAGAUUAAAACUCAAAGGAAUUGACGGGGACCCGCACAAGCGGUGGAUGAUGUGGAUUAAUUCGAUGCAACGCGAAAAACCUUACCUACCCUUGACAUGUAUGGAACCCUGCUGAGAGGUGGGGGUGCCCGAAAGGGAGCCAUAACACAGGUGCUGCAUGGCUGUCGUCAGCUCGUGUCGUGAGAUGUUGGGUUAAGUCCCGCAACGAGCGCAACCCUUGUCCCUAGUUGCUACGCAAGAGCACUCCAGGGAGACUGCCGGUGACAAACCGGAGGAAGGUGGGGAUGACGUCAAGUCCUCAUGGCCCUUAUGGGUAGGGCUUCACACGUCAUACAAUGGUCGGAACAGAGGGUCGCCAACCCGCG